This 555-nucleotide ribosomal RNA is filed under the name uncultured Glomus. RNAcentral describes it as "SSU rRNA". It matches the Rfam family "Eukaryotic small subunit ribosomal RNA", at positions 548 to 1103 of the family's 1831-position model. Lineage: Eukaryota; Fungi; Glomeromycota; Glomeromycetes; Glomerales; Glomeraceae. The record is from RNAcentral.
UUGGAGGGCAAGUCUGGUGCCAGCAGCCGUGGUAAUUCCAGCUCCAAUAGCGUAUAUUAAAGUUGUUGCAGUUAAAAAGCUCGUAGUUGAAUUUCGGGAUCAAUGUUUCGGUCAUGCCGUUGGUAUGUACUGAUAUUAUUGAUUUCUCACCUUCUAAAGAACCGUAAUGCCAUUAAUUUGGUGUCACGGGGAAUUAGGACUGUUACCUUGAAAAAAUUAGAGUGUUUAAAGCAGGCUCACGCUUGAAUACAUUAGCAUGGAAUAAUGAAAUAGGACAUCCGAUUCUAUUUUGUUGGUUUCUAGGAUCGAUGUAAUGAUUAAUAGGGAUAGUUGGGGGCAUUAGUAUUCAAUUGUCAGAGGUGAAAUUCUUGGAUUUAUUGAAGACUAACUACUGCGAAAGCAUUUGCCAAGGAUGUUUUCAUUAAUCAAGAACGAAAGUUAGGGGAUCGAAGACGAUCAGAUACCGUCGUAGUCUUAACCAUAAACUAUGCCGACUAGGGAUCGGAUGAUGUUAAUUUUUUAAUGACUCAUUCGGCGCCUUACGGGAAACCAAAG